RNAcentral lists this long non-coding RNA (1052 nucleotides) under Ursus maritimus (polar bear). Its description in RNAcentral is "lncRNA (ENSUMAG00000016605.1)". Lineage: Eukaryota; Metazoa; Chordata; Mammalia; Carnivora; Ursidae. The record is from RNAcentral.
CCAGAAGUUCUAGUCCAGCUGUCGGCUCGCGGCUUCAGACCCUUAGAACCACUUCCGCUUCCACGGUGGCGCAUCGCGGGAGAAGGUGGAUUCGGCUGAGAAUCCCAUUUAGAAGGCCCCUAAUCCAUGAAGGCUUCAGGAGCAGAGAGGAAUGGAGAAGAGAAGAUAGAUCCUUUUUUUUUUUAACAUGCGCCCUUGACCCCCCUCCUCUGCAAGUCCCUGAACCCCUGGAGGGCGGAGGCUCCGUCCUCAUUCCCUACCUCCAGGCCUGGGGUCAGGCAGGAAGUGCUCGGAAAGUGCUUGCAAACUGACGAACGUAUUAACAUCUUCAUCUGAUCAUCUCAAGUUCACUCUUACAGGCACCCCGAGAAGUAGGAACCUAAUAUUUACUGGAUGAGUAAACUGGACCCUCCUGGAGAUGAACCAGUUACUUCUCAUCAGCUGCGGUGGCCGGGCUCUGCGCUGGGGCUACGAGGACGGACCUAUAAGGACCCCUCUGCAGGGCACCUGCGGCGGGGCCCGAGGCUCCCCGUGAAGGAAUGGACGGGCGAUCAAACCCAAAGCUGAGCCAAGAGCGGACAAUAGCUGAACAUCCUGUUUGCAGGAGGAAAGGGAAGCUGGAAGCAGCAGGUCCUCUGGGACUCGGGGAGCUUGAAAGGACCCGGCAGGGGGGACGGAGGAGGCCCCUUUUCUCUGCAACAGCCGACUGCAAGGAAACAUUGCACGCACUUGGUCUCUCAACAAUUGGUGAACUUUCUGCCUUACAACAGUCCUGGUCAGCUGUCCAAGUCUCACGGUGGCAAAAGCGCCCCAAGAAUGUUGUCAUCUCGGCAUCCGAUGGAAGAAGGGGGACAAUCCCAGCUCCCCCCCCCAAACACACACGCACACACAGGUCUUCGGAGCCUCCUGCAGUUCUCGGAACGGAUACAGGGAAGUUUUGGGGGGCAAGGCAAAGUUGCCCGCCUUGCAGAAACAUCUCGGGUGAGCCCCGGGGCCAUCACAGCAAGGGGGUCCUCGGGAAAUACAAGGCCACACGGCCAGACGGGGAUUAG